AUACUAGGGAAGGCAUCGAGCUUGAGGAAGAGGCCCCAUUCAUCUCCGUACCCCAGGCCCUGGUACACAGCAGGCAGCACCUUCUACCACCAUCCACCCUCCUCCGUGUUCUAUUUAUUUUGUUGAUUUCUCCUUCAUUGAAAUGUCAGCUCCAGGCGGGCACGCAUCUUUGUUGUGUUCUCUGCUGACUAUAUCCUCAGCACCUAGAACUGUGUCUGUCACCUAAUAGAUGCUCAAUAAACCUGCCAGUAAUUUCAGCAAAUGAAACGUGGAACACGUCAAGGCCAGAGGAUGGAAAAGGCUCCAGUUUUGAUAAAAGGAGGCCUGCUUGGCUUGGAAUCCUCUCUCCUGCUGGUUGGGAGAUGCAAAGAUGUUUCCAGAGAGGGGCUGAUGAAUUGAGGGGAAAGAAAUGAGCCCAGUAUGAGUCCCCUUUCAGGGCUGAGCGGGUAUAAAACCAAACAACUUGGAACCGCUCCAAGAGAGGGGAUUAAAGCAACAUGUUAUUCUGA
This 509-nucleotide long non-coding RNA is filed under the name Pan troglodytes (chimpanzee). RNAcentral describes it as "lincRNA". Lineage: Eukaryota; Metazoa; Chordata; Mammalia; Primates; Hominidae. The record is from RNAcentral.